Molecule: ribosomal RNA, 468 nt
Filed under: uncultured bacterium
Lineage: Bacteria
Description: partial 16S ribosomal RNA
Rfam family: Bacterial small subunit ribosomal RNA
Source: RNAcentral
GACGAACGCUGGCGGCGUGCUUAACACAUGCAAGUCGAACGGAAAGUCCCUGCUUUUGUGGGGUGCUCGAGUGGCGAACGGGUGAGUAACACGUGAGUAACCUGCCCUUGACUUUGGGAUAACUUCAGGAAACUGGGGCUAAUACCGGAUAGGAGCUCCUGCUGCAUGGUGGGGGUUGGAAAGUUUCGGCGGUUGGGGAUGGACUCGCGGCUUAUCAGCUUGUUGGUGGGGUAGUGGCUUACCAAGGCUUUGACGGGUAGCCGGCCUGAGAGGGUGACCGGCCACAUUGGGACGGAGAUACGGCCCAGACUCCUACGGGAGGCAGCAGUGGGGAAUAUUGCACAAUGGGCGGAAGCCUGAUGCAGCAACGCCGCGUGCGGGAUGACGGCCUUCGGGUUGUAAACCGCUUUCGCCUGUGACGAAGCGUGAGUGACGGUAAUGGGUAAAGAAGCACCGGCUAACUACGUG